UACGAAGGGGGCUAGCGUUGUUCGGAAUUACUGGGCGUAAAGCGCACGUAGGCGGACUCUUAAGUCAGGGGUGAAAUCCCGGGGCUCAACCUCGGAACUGCCUUUGAUACUGUGGGUCUCGAGCAAGUCAGAGGUGAGUGGAAUUGCUAGUGUAGAGGUGAAAUUCGUAGAUAUUAGGAAGAACACCAGUGGCGAAGGCGGCUCACUGGGACGUUGCUGACGCUGAGAUGCGAAAGCGUGGGGAGCAAACAGG
Molecule: ribosomal RNA, 253 nt
Filed under: uncultured bacterium
Lineage: Bacteria
Description: partial 16S ribosomal RNA
Rfam family: Bacterial small subunit ribosomal RNA
Source: RNAcentral